RNAcentral lists this small nuclear RNA (18 nucleotides) under Arabidopsis thaliana (thale cress). RNAcentral describes it as "snRNA_07841". The record is from RNAcentral. Lineage: Eukaryota; Viridiplantae; Streptophyta; Magnoliopsida; Brassicales; Brassicaceae.
GCAAGUCAUCCUUGGCUG